CAGUAGCCGCGGUAAUACGAAGGGUGCAAGCGUUACUCGGAAUUACUGGGCGUAAAGCGUGUGUAGGUGGUUGUUUAAGUCUGUCGUGAAAGCCCUGGGCUCAACCUGGGAAUUGCGAUGGAUACUGGGCGACUAGAGUGCGGUAGAGGAUAGUGGAAUUUCCGGUGUAGCAGUGAAAUGCGUAGAGAUCGGAAGGAACAUCUGUGGCGAAGGCGACUAUCUGGGCCAACACUGACACUGAGACACGAAAGCGUGGGGAGCAAACAGGAUUAGAUACCCGGGUAGUCCCUGUCUCUUAUAC
This 301-nucleotide ribosomal RNA is filed under the name uncultured bacterium. Its description in RNAcentral is "partial 16S ribosomal RNA". It matches the Rfam family "Bacterial small subunit ribosomal RNA", at positions 509 to 807 of the family's 1533-position model. The record is from RNAcentral.